AUGAUUUCUGGUGGUUCUUUAUCAACUGCUGUAGUGGAGGCCGAGGUCGCUAAGAUCACCUCGGCGCAGACCUCAUGGAAGUGGGUAGCCGUCCCUUAUGGAGCCAAUACUUUCUUAGUUUCCUUCCCGUUCUUGAAGAUUUGGCAGCAUGUGGCAGCUUUUGAGUACAAUGUCAAAUCCCAUGAUGUAAAGAUUGCUUUUAGUGAAUGGAAAGUUGAGGAGGCUCCAUCUCUACUUCCUUUGCAGCCAGUUUGGGUUCAUGUCACAGGUGUCUCACCACCUCUUCACCAUUUCCUUGGUCUGUGGGCAGUAGGAUCAGUUAUUGGUGCGGUCUCAAUAAUUCGGAGGAGCAGGCUAUAA
Molecule: ribosomal RNA, 360 nt
Filed under: Triticum aestivum (bread wheat)
Lineage: Eukaryota; Viridiplantae; Streptophyta; Magnoliopsida; Poales; Poaceae
Description: partial small subunit ribosomal RNA
Source: RNAcentral